AACACAUACCUUCAAGAAUCGUUUGUUAUCAGAGAAGUUUCGCGGAUGAUGUAGAGCACCAGAAACCACGAGGAGGAGCUCGAGCAUCUUCUCCUGAGCCUGAAGCCAGCUCUGGGGGUCCUUUAGCGUGUUCUUCCCUUGGAAGAGGGAGACGGCGAGGAUGCAGUCUGAGUGG
RNAcentral lists this small nucleolar RNA (175 nucleotides) under Sorex araneus (European shrew). RNAcentral describes it as "Small nucleolar RNA U3 (ENSSARG00000017373.1)". It matches the Rfam family "Small nucleolar RNA U3". Rfam says of the family: Small nucleolar RNAs (snoRNAs) are involved in the processing and modification of rRNA in the nucleolus. There are two main classes of snoRNAs: the box C/D class, and the box H/ACA class. Lineage: Eukaryota; Metazoa; Chordata; Mammalia; Eulipotyphla; Soricidae. The record is from RNAcentral.